Molecule: transfer RNA, 66 nt
Filed under: Kemneritermes sarawakensis
Lineage: Eukaryota; Metazoa; Arthropoda; Insecta; Blattodea; Termitidae
Description: tRNA-Arg
Source: RNAcentral
AAGUAAGAAGCAAAUUUUGCAAUCAGUUUCGACCUGAUCUUAGAUAAUUCAACUUAUCCUUGCUUU